Molecule: ribosomal RNA, 529 nt
Filed under: uncultured Gemmatimonadota bacterium
Lineage: Bacteria; Pseudomonadati; Gemmatimonadota
Description: bacterial SSU rRNA
Rfam family: Bacterial small subunit ribosomal RNA
Source: RNAcentral
GAUAACCGGCGAACGGGUGCGUAACACGUGAACAACCUGCCCUCGUGUGGGGGAUAGCCGGGCUAACGCCCGGGUAAUACCGCAUACGUUCUUUCUGGGGAGUCCUGNGGAGAGGAAAGCUCCGGCGCACGGGGAGGGGUUCGCGGCCUAUCAGCUUGUUGGCGGGGUAACGGCCCACCAAGGCGACGACGGGUAGCUGGUCUGAGAGGAUGGCCAGCCACAUUGGGACUGAGAGACGGCCCAGACUCCUACGGGAGGCAGCAGUGGGGAAUCUUGCGCAAUGGUCGGAAGACUGACGCAGCGACGCCGCGUGUGGGAGGACGCCUUUCGGGGUGUAAACCACUGUUGCCCGGGACGAACUGGCGGUUUCGACCGCCCUGACGGCACCGGGUGAGGAAGCACCGGCUAACUCCGUGCCAGCAGCCGCGGUAAUACGGAGGGUGCGAGCGUUGUCCGGAAUCAUUGGGCGUAAAGGGCGCGUAGGUGGCCCGGUCAGUCUUUGGUGAAAGCGCGGGGCUCAACCCUGCGU